Actinia tenebrosa (Australian red waratah sea anemone) is the source of this 669-nucleotide long non-coding RNA. The record is from RefSeq and is a predicted model, not a curated record. Lineage: Eukaryota; Metazoa; Cnidaria; Anthozoa; Actiniaria; Actiniidae.
GUGCUCCGCCUGUCAUGGCGACAUGGCGACAGACAUUGAUUUGCGCGUUUACUACUGGGGUCUCAACUCGACCUUUUGGGCCCACAGAAAGCUUUUCGUCAAGGAACUAUAUGAAUUAAAGGAAAGCAAGGAGUACAAAGAUUAUCACAGAUGAUCAUCACUUGAAGCCUGCCAUUAUAAAAGCUAUCAAGGACAUUAGUAAAGGGUCGCUACAUCAAGGUGCUCACAUUGCAAGGAUUACAGAUGCUCUACACUCUACACAAAGUCUUUGUCAUGUUGGUUCUGCCAGAAUUCUAGAUUCUUUGAAGAAACUUAUCUGUGAGAGUGAGAUUUAUCAACAAAGUAAUCAGGUGUACUGCAUUGUAUGAUUAUGGUGCACAAUUACAGGGAUGGGGGAGGAAUGAUUUGAGGGGGUUUAUGGCAAUUACUCCCCCCACCCCACAAUGGAAAAUCCUGUAUACACACCCUGCAUCAUGUAGACAGCACAUCCAUUUAGUCAUGUAAGAGCAAAACAAUGAGAAAAAUGGUGAGAUAAGAAUGUCAGUUUUAUUAAUAUAAUAUGUAAUUAACUGAUCAGAUAUCUGUAACAGUUAGAAAUGCUUCUUUGUUGUGUUUCUUAUUACUACUGUGAUCAUUUAUGGCAGUCCAAAAUAAAUUUAGAAAAAUGUC